RNAcentral lists this ribosomal RNA (460 nucleotides) under uncultured bacterium. RNAcentral describes it as "partial 16S ribosomal RNA". It matches the Rfam family "Bacterial small subunit ribosomal RNA", at positions 338 to 795 of the family's 1533-position model. The record is from RNAcentral.
CCUACGGGAGUCAGCAGUGAGGAAUAUUGGUCAAUGGACGAGAGUCUGAACCAGCCAAGUAGCGUGAAGGAUGACUGCCCUAUGGGUUGUAAACUUCUUUUAUAUGGGAAUAAAAUGUUCCACGUGUGGGAUUUUGUAUGUACCAUAUGAAUAAGGAUCGGCUAACUCUGUGCCAGCAGCCGCGGUAAUACGGAGGAUCCGAGCGUUAUCCGGAUUUAUUGGGUUUAAAGGGAGCGUAGGUGGAUUGUUAAGUCAGUUGUGAAAGUUUGCGGCUCAACCGUAAAAUUGCAGUUGAAACUGGCAGUCUUGAGUACAGUAGAGGUGGGCGGAAUUCGUGGUGUAGCGGUGAAAUGCUUAGAUAUCACGAAGAACUCUGAUUGCGAAGGCAGUUCACUGGACUGCAACUGACACUGAGGCUCGAAAGUGUGGGUAUCAAACAGGAUUAGAUACCCUAGUAGUC